GAAAUGCGAUAAGUAAUGUGAAUUGCAGAAUUCAGUGAAUCAUCGAAUCUUUGAACGCACCUUGCGCCCUUUGGACAUUCCGAAGGGCAUGCCUGUUUGAGUAUCAUGAACACCUCAACUCUUUAUGGUCUUCCAUGAUGAGCUUGGACUUUGGGGGGUUUUGCUGGCCUACAGUCAGCUCCUCUAAAAUGAAUCAGCUUGCCGGUGUUUGGUGGGUAUCAUGGGUGUGAUAACUAUCUACGCUCGUGGUUUUCCACCAGGUAACCUUCAGCAGUGGAGGUUCACUGGAGCUCAUAGAUGUCUCUCCUCAGUGAGGACAGCCCUUUGAAUGUUUGAUCUCAAAUCAGGUAGGACUACCCGCUGAACUUAA
This 370-nucleotide unclassified non-coding RNA is filed under the name uncultured Thelephoraceae. RNAcentral describes it as "sequence contains ITS1". The stretch from base 1 to 106 matches the Rfam family "5.8S ribosomal RNA", at positions 50 to 154 of the family's 154-position model. The record is from RNAcentral. Lineage: Eukaryota; Fungi; Basidiomycota; Agaricomycetes; Thelephorales; Thelephoraceae.